RNAcentral lists this long non-coding RNA (741 nucleotides) under Rattus norvegicus (Norway rat). RNAcentral's name for it is "long non-coding RNA NONRATT008429". Lineage: Eukaryota; Metazoa; Chordata; Mammalia; Rodentia; Muridae. The record is from RNAcentral.
UGGGAUUGGGUAGUUCCUCAGAUCCUCAGGUUGUUUCCUGAUGGUAGCCUCUGCCUGUUGAGGAUGUGGUUGGUCUCUUCUCAGCCAGAAGUGUGGUCUAAGGCUGGGUCUUUACAGUGGGAAGAGGAGGAAGAAUGGUAGAUGUUUGUUCAUGGCCUCAUAUGACCCUUUUAGCCGGAGCUCAAGGCGGUGGCCUGUGUCCAUGUCGUCUGAUUGUUCUCAACAUCCUGUUGUACAGAUAUGAUCUAGAUCCUCAACCCACUCUGGCUCCCAGGGCCAUCUUCAGUUCCAAGCCACUCUUCUGUGAGUUGGCUUGGGUUACCUUUACCCAUUCUGCUUUCUCACAAAAUGUAGUGUUACUUUUAACCUGUAGGAAAGAAAUAGCAGUACAGUUUUCUUGUGGUCACCGUAGUGACUGUUCUUACUCUAAAGGCUGGAGUUUGUCUGGUUGUCUGUCUAGUGGAGGACAGGAGGAAGGAUGUGACCAUACAAGGUCAGAGCAAAUAUUUAAGACUGGAAGGACAGGUAGGAGCUGCAAUAGGGAGCUUACAGAGAGAAGGCAGGGUGAGCGCUGACAGUGGCUUUUCCAAGGCCCUGGAGACACUGAUGAGUAUCAUCUCUUUAGGUUUCCACCGGUGGUAAGUUAUUUCCCAAACAUCAUUCAGACAUACUUGUUUGGCAUUGCUUCAUGUUUAAGUCACUCUCUAGGGAAAGACGAAAAAGACAAACCCCAGUGUUUGG